AACGAACGCUGGCGGCAGGCCUAACACAUGCAAGUCGAGCGAGGACUUCGGUCCUAGCGGCGGACGGGUGAGUAACGCGUGGGAACGUGCCCUUUGCUUCGGAAUAGCCCUGGGAAACUGGGAGUAAUACCGGAUGAGCCCCUUGGGGGUAAGAUUUAUCGGCGAAGGAUCGGCCCGCGUUGGAUUAGGUAGUUGGUGGGGUAAUGGCCUACCAAGCCGACGAUCCAUAGCUGGUUUGAGAGGAUGAUCGGCCACACUGGGACUGAGACACGGCCCAGACUCCUACGGGAGGCAGCAGUGGGGAAUCUUAGACAAUGGGGGAAACCCUGAUCUAGCCAUGCCGCGUGAGCGAUGAAGGCCUUAGGGUUGUAAAGCUCUUUCAGCUGGGAAGAUAAUGACGGUACCAGCAGAAGAAGCCCCGGCUAACUCCGUG
Molecule: ribosomal RNA, 433 nt
Filed under: uncultured bacterium
Lineage: Bacteria
Description: partial 16S ribosomal RNA
Rfam family: Bacterial small subunit ribosomal RNA
Source: RNAcentral